Molecule: unclassified non-coding RNA, 243 nt
Filed under: Hevea brasiliensis (rubber tree)
Lineage: Eukaryota; Viridiplantae; Streptophyta; Magnoliopsida; Malpighiales; Euphorbiaceae
Source: RNAcentral
GUAGCAGGCAACAAAAAUAUGUAAUUCUUCCAACACUUGCUUGGUAUUGGUUUAAACUCAAGAUUGUCCCAGCAACAUGUGUUGGUGGAGGGAUCCAUGAUGGCAUGGCAGAAAUGAAGUCUAACAAUCUUUCAUAUUCUUAUGUGAAAUACCAUCAAUCUGCACACCAGAAACUAUACUAUGCUGCAUGUCUGCUACUUUUUUCUUCACAUCUUUGCGUUCUUCACUUAACAUGAGUUUUCU